ACUGCUUGGCCCUCCUUGACGGGGUCACGUGGGACGUCGCCGGCGCCGGCCUCCCAGUCAGUCCGGGGGAGGGUGGCGUCGAGGAGGGACCAGGUGUUGCGCCGGCGAGGCGGAGGGCUAGAGCGACGGCGAGAUCAAGAUCCGGGGUCCUAGAUCCAACGCCGGCGGCCGUCAUGAAUCCCUCCUGUUCCCCUUCCUGCUCGCCCUGCUGGUCCUCCGCACCGUGCUUUACCGGUUUACCCGGACCCCGACGCGCGCGUCGCUCCCCCUUUGCUUCCGGCAUGACGGCGCCUUCAAGAUCCUGCAGGUGGCGGACAUGCACUUCGGGAACGGGCGCCACCACGUGCUGCCAACAUGGCGCUGGGGUGGCGUGCGCUGCUCGGACCUCAACACCAUGCAGUUCCUGCUUCGAGUCAUUGAGGCGGAGGGGUCCGACCUCAUCGCCGAGUCAUUGUCGAGCUGUGCUGUUUUCUGUUGAGGAGAAGCAGUUUUUGCAGUCUAUGCAAUUCAUGAUUGGUAUAUGAGCAUUAAAAUGGUGAUUUCAGUUGGGAAUAUUUAGGUGCAGCAAAGACCAUUGCAAGAGUUCUUGCUAUUAACACUACGAAUUCUAGGUUGCCUCCAACAUAGUAAUGACCAACAUUCAGCUUUAAGCAAUUCUAUCUGUCUCUGAAUUGGUCAUAAAUUUUCCCAAGGCUAGCAACUGUGUGUUAA
Panicum virgatum (switchgrass) is the source of this 711-nucleotide long non-coding RNA. RefSeq lists it as uncharacterized. NCBI's taxonomy places the organism in Eukaryota, Viridiplantae, Streptophyta, Magnoliopsida, Poales, Poaceae. The record is from RefSeq and is a predicted model, not a curated record. The transcript is spliced from 3 exons.